GGAAUAUUGCGCAAUGGGCGAAAGCCUGACGCAGCCACGCCGCGUGUGUGAUGAAGGCCUUCGGGUCGUAAAGCACUGUCGGGAGGGAAGAAUCCAUGACGGUACCUCCCAAGAAAGCGCCGGCUAACCCCGUGCCAGCAGCCGCGGUAAUACGGGGGGCGCAAGCGUUGCUCGGAAUCACUGGGCGUAAAGCGUACGCAGGCGGCGAUGCAAGACAGGUGUGAAAUCCCCGGGCUUAACCUGGGAACUGCACUUGUGACUGCAUGGCUAGAGUGCGUCAGAGGGGGGUGGAAUUCCGCGUGUAGCAGUGAAAUGCGUAGAGAUGCGGAGGAACACCGAUGGCGAAGGCAGCCCCCUGGGAUGACACUGACGCUCAGGCACGAAAGCGUGGGGAGC
RNAcentral lists this ribosomal RNA (396 nucleotides) under uncultured bacterium. RNAcentral's name for it is "bacterial SSU rRNA". It matches the Rfam family "Bacterial small subunit ribosomal RNA", at positions 358 to 769 of the family's 1533-position model. The record is from RNAcentral.